AUACGGAGGGUCCGAGCGUUAUCCGGAAUCAUUGGGUUUAAAGGGUCCGUAGGCGGACUAUUAAGUCAGAGGUGAAAUCCCACAGCUCAACUGUGGAACUGCCUUUGAUACUGGUAGUCUUGAGUUAUAUGGAAGUAGAUAGAAUGUGUAGUGUAGCGGUGAAAUGCAUAGAUAUUACACAGAAUACCGAUUGCGAAGGCAGUCUACUACGUAUAUACUGACGCUAAGGGACGAAAGCGUGGGGAGCGAACAGGAUUAGAAACCCCAGUAGUCC
Molecule: ribosomal RNA, 274 nt
Filed under: uncultured bacterium
Lineage: Bacteria
Description: partial 16S ribosomal RNA
Rfam family: Bacterial small subunit ribosomal RNA
Source: RNAcentral